RNAcentral lists this ribosomal RNA (484 nucleotides) under uncultured bacterium. RNAcentral's name for it is "partial 16S ribosomal RNA". It matches the Rfam family "Bacterial small subunit ribosomal RNA", at positions 30 to 507 of the family's 1533-position model. The record is from RNAcentral.
AUUGAACGCUGGCGGCAGGCCUAACACAUGCAAGUCGAGCGGAUGAAGGGAGCUUGCGCCUGGAUUCAGCGGCGGACGGGUGAGUAAUGCCUAGGAAUCUGCCUGGUAGUGGGGGAUAACGUCCGGAAACGGGCGCUAAUACCGAAUACGUCCUGAGGGGGAAAGUGGGGGAUCUUCGGACCUCACGCUAUCGGAUGAGCCUAGGUCGGAUUAGCUAGUUGGUGGGGUAAAGGCCUACCAAGGCGACGAUCCGUAACUGGUCUGAGAGGAUGAUCAGUCACACUGGAACUGAGACACGGUCCAGACUCCUACGGGAGGCAGCAGUGGGGAAUAUUGGACAAUGGGCGAAAGCCUGAUCCAGCCAUGCCGCGUGUGUGAAGAAGGUCUUCGGAUUGUAAAGCACUUUAAUUUGGGAGGAAGGGCAGUAAGUUAAUACCUUGCUGUUUUGACGUUACCAACAGAAUAAGCACCGGCUAACUUCGUG